Molecule: ribosomal RNA, 470 nt
Filed under: uncultured Sphingobacteriales bacterium
Lineage: Bacteria; Pseudomonadati; Bacteroidota; Sphingobacteriia; Sphingobacteriales
Description: bacterial SSU rRNA
Rfam family: Bacterial small subunit ribosomal RNA
Source: RNAcentral
UUGACGGGGCCCGCACAAGCGGAGGAGCAUGUGGUUUAAUUCGAUGAUACGCGAGGAACCUUACCUGGGCUCGAACGUAAGAUGACUGUAGGUGAAAGCUUACAUCUCUUCGGAGCAUUUUACGAGGUGCUGCAUGGUUGUCGUCAGCUCGUGCCGUGAGGUGUCGGGUUAAGUCCCAUAACGAGCGCAACCCCUACCUUUAGUUGCCAUCAGGUAAUGCUGGGGACUCUAAAGGAACUGCCUACGCAAGUAGUGAGGAAGCGGGGAUGACGUCAAAUCAGCACGGCCCUUACGUCCAGGGCUACACACGUGCUACAAUGGCCGAUACAGAGGGCAGCUACCUGGUGACAGGAUGCAAAUCUCCAAAGUCGGUCUCAGUUCGGAUCGGAGUCUGCAACCCGACUCCGUGAAGUUGGAUUCGCUAGUAAUCGCGCAUCAGCCAUGGCGCGGUGAAUACGUUCCCGGGUCUU